This 102-nucleotide signal recognition particle RNA is filed under the name human gut metagenome. RNAcentral describes it as "Bacteroidales small SRP". It matches the Rfam family "Bacteroidales small SRP". Rfam says of the family: The non-coding component of the signal recognition particle in Bacteroides RNAcentral also lists the same sequence under 1 other name. The record is from RNAcentral.
ACUCGGGUAAGUCUUGUACGACCAGCUCCCUCUGAAUCUCCCCAGGGCGGGAACGCAGCAAGGUAAGGAGGUUGUAGCGGUGCGAUAUAAGUAGCUUACCCU